CCCACCCUGUCUGCUCCUUCCUUUUCUCCUUAACCCUCCCACACCACUUAAACCCCACUGCUUUGCCCUCUAAGUCCCAAAUCACAUCUGGUUUUCAUCUUUUCAUUCCACUCCGAUCCUUCCUCUGCUCUCAGGUGACUUACCGCACUGACCCUCUGCUGAUCUCACUGGCUCCAGCCACCAGCCAUGAUCCUAAGUCUUCACCAUGAGCAACGCCCACGCACAGGCAGAAAGAGCCCACGGGUUCUUAUGAGGAUUAAGAAAAGGGCCAACUUGCAAGUGGCUGACAAAUGUGCUUGCGUGACAGGGUGAUCCUGCUCAGAACACGCCCUGCUGGCUGGGGUUAGAGUCCUUCCUAACUGGGGCCCCAAUCUUUCCAGCCACCUGUCCACUAGAUUCCCCACUUCUGUGCCCCUCACCAAAUGCUACUGGGGCAAAUCUUGCUAUUUGCCAUCACUGCGUCCUGGCUUCAAACUGGUGUGUUCUGUUAGUGAAACCAGGACACCAUGAGACUGAGGUGGCUCUAAUGCCUUAACCUAGGUCAGCAAACCCAAAAUCAAGCCCGUAAAUCCCUCAAGGUUAAGAAGCGGAAACCUAAGUUCAAAGGAUGGGAACAGACAGCAAGACUUUCUCACAUACGGCGUCCCUUUUAAGCAAUGGCCUAUCAGGAUUUCCCUUGCUUUGCUUCCUACAGCUUCUCUAUGAAAACCUCGCCCUGGUUGGUCGACCCCUUCCAACCACUUCCGGUUUGGCACUUCCUGAUUCCAAUCGAGGUUUGUUCAAAUAAACUCGAAAAUGUUAACAUGUCCCAGUUUACCUUUUCACGGUUCCUUCAGCAUGGAAGGCUUUUCCUCCUUCCGUCUGCUUGCCAGAGUUCUUCUGCACGCUCAAGCUCGGCGAAACCUCACCUCCUCCAAAGAGCCUGUGCCCGGACCGAGUCACUCCUUCCCUCCCUUGUCAGCGCAUCACACGGAGUCUGCGCAGCUGUGUCUGGGUGGCUGGAAUGGGAGCAUGACAGCUGAAGCUCAAGGAACCAUCCUGAACAGAGAGGUGGAAGACUGUGGUGAAAAUGACAGAACAUCAAGAGAAAUGUUUCCUGGGUCUUUGAUAAUUAAUGAGCGCCAUGCCAACUCUAUACUGUUUCUCUCCAGACUUACUUCAUAAGAAAGAGGAAUACAUUCAUAUCUUGUUUAAUACAACAUUUGAUCUCUGGAAAUGGCUUUUCGCAUGUCAGAAAUCAGCUGAAGGACGCUGCCUGCACGGUUUCCAAGGCUAUUAAGUAAGCCUCCAUUCAACUGAGCCAUUUUGAACUGGCUUCAGAGUACAGAAACCC
Long non-coding RNA from Mustela erminea (ermine), 1333 nucleotides. RefSeq lists it as uncharacterized. NCBI's taxonomy places the organism in Eukaryota, Metazoa, Chordata, Mammalia, Carnivora, Mustelidae. The record is from RefSeq and is a predicted model, not a curated record. The transcript has 2 exons.